Molecule: ribosomal RNA, 719 nt
Filed under: Pseudomonas sp. H741
Lineage: Bacteria; Pseudomonadati; Pseudomonadota; Gammaproteobacteria; Pseudomonadales; Pseudomonadaceae
Description: bacterial SSU rRNA
Rfam family: Bacterial small subunit ribosomal RNA
Source: RNAcentral
UAGUCAUAACACAUGCAAGUCGAGCGGUAGAGAAGGAGCUUGCUUCUUCUUGAGAGCGGCGGACGGGUGAGUAAUGCCUAGGAAUCUGCCUGGUAGUGGGGGACAACGUUUCGAAAGGAACGCUAAUACCGCAUACGUCCUACGGGAGAAAGUGGGGGAUCUUCGGACCUCACGCUAUCAGAUGAGCCUAGGUCGGAUUAGCUUGUAGGUGAGGUAAUGGCUCACCUAGGCAACGAUCCGUAACUGGUCUGAGAGGAUGAUCAGUCACACUGGAACUGAGACACGGUCCAGACUCCUACGGGAGGCAGCAGUGGGGAAUAUUGGACAAUGGGCGAAAGCCUGAUCCAGCCAUGCCGCGUGUGUGAAGAAGGUCUUCGGAUUGUAAAGCACUUUAAGUUGGGAGGAAGGGUUGUAGCUUAAUACGCUGCAACUUUGACGUUACCAACAGAAUAAGCACCGGCUAACUCUGUGCCAGCAGCCGCGGUAAUACAGAGGGUGCAAGCGUUAAUCGGAAUUACUGGGCGUAAAGCGCGCGUAGGCGGCUUGAUAAGAUGGGUGUGAAAUCCCCGGGCUUAACCUGGGAACUGCAUCCAUAACUGUCUGGCUAGAGUACAGUAGAGGGUGGUGGAAUUUCCUGUGUAGCGGUGAAAUGCGUAGAUAUAGGAAGGAACACCAGUGGCGAAGGCGUCCACCUGGACUGAUACUUACCCUGAGGUUCC